RNAcentral lists this unclassified non-coding RNA (343 nucleotides) under soil metagenome. Its description in RNAcentral is "partial contains 5.8S ribosomal RNA, internal transcribed spacer 2, and large subunit ribosomal RNA". The stretch from base 1 to 120 matches the Rfam family "5.8S ribosomal RNA", at positions 35 to 154 of the family's 154-position model. The record is from RNAcentral.
GAUGAAGAACGUAGCGAAACGCGAUAAGUAAUGGGAAUUGCAGAAUCCAGUGAAUCAUCGAAUCUUUGAACGCACAUUGCGCCCGCCAGCAUUCUGGCGGGCAUGCCUGUUCGAGCGUCAUUUCAACCCUCGACCUCCCCUUGGGGAGGUCGGCGUUGGGGACCGGCAGCACACCGCGGGCCCUGAAAUGGAGUGGCGGCCCGUCCGCGGCGACCUCUGCGCAGUAAUACAGCUCGCACCGGGACCCCGACGCGGCCACGCCGUAAAACACCCAACUUCUGAACGUUGACCUCGAAUCAGGUAGGACUACCCGCUGAACUUAAGCAUAUCAAUAAGCGGAGGA